Chelonoidis abingdonii (Abingdon island giant tortoise) is the source of this 174-nucleotide unclassified non-coding RNA. NCBI's taxonomy places the organism in Eukaryota, Metazoa, Chordata, Testudines, Testudinidae. The record is from Ensembl.
UUGACAGUCCUGGAGGCUGGAGUCCUUUCCUUAUCCACAGAGCAGGCACACAAUGGGCAACGACAGUGCAAAUUACUCACGCUACUCCCACCAGGGUGACUCAGCCUUGACCUGGAGGAGACUACUGAAGGAGAGAGAGUGUGUCACAGGGCUUGUCUUCACUACUGGGGUAAG